RNAcentral lists this ribosomal RNA (274 nucleotides) under uncultured bacterium. Its description in RNAcentral is "partial 16S ribosomal RNA". It matches the Rfam family "Bacterial small subunit ribosomal RNA", at positions 523 to 796 of the family's 1533-position model. The record is from RNAcentral.
AUACAGAGGGUGCAAGCGUUAUUCGGAAUUACUGGGCGUAAAGCGCGCGUAGGCGGAUGAUUAAGUCAGUUGUGAAAGCCCUGGGCUCAACCUAGGAACUGCAUCUGAUACUGGUCGUCUAGAGUUUAAGAGAGGGAAGUGGAAUUCCAGGUGUAGCAGUGAAAUGCGUAGAUAUCUGGAGGAACAUCAGUGGCGAAGGCGACUUCCUGGCUUAAAACUGACGCUGAGGUGCGAAAGCGUGGGGAGCGAACAGGAUUAGAUACCCUAGUAGUCC